Molecule: ribosomal RNA, 253 nt
Filed under: uncultured bacterium
Lineage: Bacteria
Description: partial 16S ribosomal RNA
Rfam family: Bacterial small subunit ribosomal RNA
Source: RNAcentral
UACGAAGGGUGCAAGCGUUACUCGGAAUUACUGGGCGUAAAGCGUGCGUAGGUGGUUUGUUAAGUCUGAUGUGAAAGCCCUGGGCUCAACCUGGGAAUUGCAUUGGAUACUGGCAAGCUAGAGUGCGGUAGAGGAUGGCGGAAUUCCCGGUGUAGCAGUGAAAUGCGUAGAGAUCGGGAGGAACAUCUGUGGCGAAGGCGGCCAUCUGGACCAGCACUGACACUGAGGCACGAAAGCGUGGGGAGCAACAGGG